GUGGGGAAUCUUGCGCAAUGGGCGAAAGCCUGACGCAGCCAUGCCGCGUGAAUGAUGAAGGUCUUAGGAUUGUAAAAUUCUUUCACCGGGGACGAUAAUGACGGUACCCGGAGAAGAAGCUCCGGCUAACUUCGUGCCAGCAGCCGCGGUAAUACGAAGGGGGCUAGCGUUGCUCGGAAUUACUGGGCGUAAAGGGCGCGUAGGCGGACAGCUUAGUCAGAGGUGAAAGCCCAGGGCUCAACCUUGGAAUUGCCUUUGAUACUGGCUGUCUUGAGUUUGGGAGAGGUGAGUGGAACUCCGAGUGUAGAGGUGAAAUUCGUAGAUAUUCGAAAGAACACCAGUGGCGAAGGCGACUCACUGGCCCAAUACUGACGCUGAGGCGCGAAAGCGUGGGGAGCAAACAGGAUUAGAAACCCUGGUAGUCC
RNAcentral lists this ribosomal RNA (425 nucleotides) under uncultured bacterium. RNAcentral's name for it is "partial 16S ribosomal RNA". It matches the Rfam family "Bacterial small subunit ribosomal RNA", at positions 354 to 796 of the family's 1533-position model. The record is from RNAcentral.